GACGAACGCUGGCGGCGUGCUUAAUACAUGCAAGUCGGACGGAAAGGCCCUGCUCUUGUGGGGUGCUUGAGAGGCGAACGGGUGAGUAACACGCGAGUAACCUGUACUUGUAUUUGGGAUAUAUUUAGGAAACUGGGGCUAAUACAGGAUAGAAGCUUCUGCAGCAUGGUGUGGGUUGGAAAGUUUCGGCGGUUGUGGAUGGUAUCGCGGCUUAUCAGCUUGUUGGUGGGGUAGUGACGUACCAAGGCUAUGACGGGUAGCCGGCCUGGGAAGGGAACCGGCGACAAUGGUCCUGCGGUACGCCCCAGACUCCUACGGGAGGCAGCAGUGGAGAAUAUUACACAGUGGCCGGAAGCCUGAGGCAGCAACGCUGCGUGCGUGAUGCCGGCCUUCGGGUUAUAAACCGCUGUCUCCUUUGACGUAGCGUGAGUGACGGUAAUGGGUAAAAAAGCACCGGCUAACUACGUG
This 468-nucleotide ribosomal RNA is filed under the name uncultured bacterium. RNAcentral's name for it is "partial 16S ribosomal RNA". It matches the Rfam family "Bacterial small subunit ribosomal RNA", at positions 28 to 507 of the family's 1533-position model. The record is from RNAcentral.